CCUACGGGAGGCAGCAGUGGGGAAUAUUGGACAAUGGGGGCAACCCUGAUCCAGCCAUGCCGCGUGUGUGAAGAAGGCCCUCGGGUUGUAAAGCACUUUCAGUGAGGAAGAACGCCUGGUGGUUAAUACCCAUCAGGAAAGACAUCACUCACAGAAGAAGCACCGGCUAACUCCGUGCCAGCAGCCGCGGUAAUACGGAGGGUGCGAGCGUUAAUCGGAAUUACUGGGCGUAAAGCGCGCGUAGGUGGCUUGAUAAGCCGGUUGUGAAAGCCCCGGGCUCAACCUGGGAACGGCAUCCGGAACUGUCAAGCUAGAGUGCAGGAGAGGAAGGUAGAAUUCCCGGUGUAGCGGUGAAAUGCGUAGAGAUCGGGAGGAAUACCAGUGGCGAAGGCGGCCUUCUGGACUGACACUGACACUGAGGUGCGAAAGCGUGGGUAGCAAACAGGAUUAGAUACCCCUUAGUC
Molecule: ribosomal RNA, 464 nt
Filed under: Vreelandella stevensii
Lineage: Bacteria; Pseudomonadati; Pseudomonadota; Gammaproteobacteria; Oceanospirillales; Halomonadaceae
Description: partial 16S ribosomal RNA
Rfam family: Bacterial small subunit ribosomal RNA
Source: RNAcentral